UACGUAGGGAGCAAGCGUUGUCCGGAAUCAUUGGGCGUAAAGCGCGCGUAGGCGGCCCGAUAAGUCCGCUGUGAAAGUCAACGGCUCAACUGUUGAAAGCCGGUGGAUACUGUCGGGCUAGAGUACGGAAGAGGCAAGUGGAAUUCCUGGUGUAGCGGUGGAAUGCGCAGAUAUCAGGAGGAACACCUAUAGCGAAGGCAGCUUGCUGGGACGUUACUGACGCUAAGGCGCGAAAGCGUGGGGAGCGAACAGG
RNAcentral lists this ribosomal RNA (253 nucleotides) under uncultured bacterium. RNAcentral's name for it is "partial 16S ribosomal RNA". It matches the Rfam family "Bacterial small subunit ribosomal RNA", at positions 524 to 776 of the family's 1533-position model. The record is from RNAcentral.